UACGUAGGUGGCAAGCGUUGUCCGGAUUUACUGGGUGUAAAGGGCGUGUAGCCGGGUUGACAAGUCAGAUGUGAAAUCCUGCGGCUUAACCGCAGAGCUGCAUUUGAAACUGUUGAUCUUGAGUACUGGAGAGGCAGACGGAAUUCCUAGUGUAGCGGUGAAAUGCGUAGAUAUUAGGAGGAACACCAGUGGCGAAGGCGGUCUGCUGGACAGCAACUGACGGUGAGGCGCGAAAGCGUGGGGAGCAAACAGG
RNAcentral lists this ribosomal RNA (253 nucleotides) under uncultured bacterium. Its description in RNAcentral is "partial 16S ribosomal RNA". It matches the Rfam family "Bacterial small subunit ribosomal RNA", at positions 524 to 776 of the family's 1533-position model. The record is from RNAcentral.